GAAAUUGUCCAAUGUCUUCUACCGGAAUUUCUUGAAGUCCAAGAUGUCUUCAAAUGCAACAAAAUUUAAUGAUUACAUUGAACUUCUUGCUUCAAAUCAGAAUCAUUUUCUUCCAUACAUAAUUUACUCAAGUUAACUGACUUCACUAUCGUGUCCUACAAGAAAUUCACUUCACUAAAUAAGCUAAAAUUCAGAAACAAAAUUAAAGUACAAAAAAAGAAGAGUAAUUCAUAAUAAAACAAUAAAUAAACUCAUGACUGAGAUUAUACCUUAAUACGAAAAUGAGAUGAAGCUAAAAUCAAUUCAAAUUUGUUCGCAUUUUCCAGCAGAUUCGCAGUAAAAUUAAUUCGACUUUAUACUUUUUAGUCUCAAAUUUAUGCGGCUUAAUACAAAUAAAAAGAAAACAAUUUUAAUUUUUGCAUCAAUUUCAUGAAUUGAACAAAUUUUGGAUUAAAGAUGAAGAAGAAGGAGGCUAAAUUAAGAUUUUUAAAGAAGAAAUCGAAUAUAACCAUUAGGGGCUUCAAACAGGUAUUUAAAAGAAAUUAACUAGACAAAAAAUAUGUUUUAACGUGACCAACGAUACUUGUUUAUACGCGAUUGUUAAGGGAGUAUUUUAAUAUAUUUUAAAGAUGUUAAGGAAAUAAAUAAAUAAAAAAUUAAUUUAAAUAUUAAAGUAAAUUGAGCGGAUAAAUUCAAAAGGAAAAUGAUGUUUUUUCUCUAACUUUAAUCAACUUGGUUAGUACCCAAUUGGUUUUGGCUGGUCAAAGAGGAGAAGAAAACAAUUGACAGUGACUUUUUUCUUUUUUCUUCUUUUGGAUGCUAAGGUUUUCUAUUGAACUUUCACAUAUUAACCUAACUAAUAGAAAAUUGAAUUUUCUAUUAUUGUUUGUUUAUAUUUCGUCCAAUUUUGAACUUUUUUUUAGACGUAGAAAAAUUAGAAAAUAUCUAUCGAAUAAGGCUUUAAUCCAAAAUCUAUAAUUAAAAAUUAAAAAAUAUUGUAUAUUACAAUUUCACUUUAACCUUUACUAAAAAUACAAAAAAUCUCAACAUUAUGGAGACUCAAGUUAGAUUUGAUCCAAGAAGUUUUGACAUACAAGAUUCAGAAGACUCAAAUGGUGUUCUAGAAGCUACCAGCAAUUAGAAAGACAAAUUGGUAGUAACAAUGUGAGAAUUAUUGUAUGUUAAUAUUCGUUAUAACGUACUGUUAAGAAAAAUUAGAGGAAAUGCGUUAAUUUUGCCAGAUAGUUUAUUCAUGUCGGCUGUUGAUAGUCUCGUUCAUUUACAAUCUUGUCAUUAAAAACCGAACUCUUACGGCCUAAUUAUUAAUUUCAUUAGUCUCGUUAAUUAGAACAAGCUGGAGAGCCAAACAAAUCAAUAUUCAACUAUUAAUAACUAAUAUCAGAACUUUUACUUAUAAUUGCUCAUUUUUUAUAUUAAUUUCAAUAUCGAGUUCACGUGUGACUUCUUCACUUUCGAGAUUCUUUUUCUCGGAGUGUUUUGAUAUAUUUUUUAUUGAGUCGAAAGUCUAUCGGAAACAACUUCUCUACCUCCUAACCUUCCAAAUCCAAGAUAGAGAUAAUUGGGUUUGUAUAGUUAUUAUCCUUCCCACAUUUCAUUAGUGGGAUUACACUAGAUAUGUUGUUCUUAUUGUUAUAUAGAAUCUACAUCGCGACGAAUGUCAUACAGAACUGAGUAAGUAGACCUGAGUAUGAUUUCACUUCAAGCGUCAAACCACUACUGUGUUGAACGGUCUUGAAGUUGCAGCUUUGAAACAACUCGAAUAUAAAAUGGAGAUUGUUGGAUUUAAACGAAAUUUCACCAAUCAAGAGUUCCAGAUGUUGAUUCAGAUGACUUCCUCGGAUGGUAGCUUCGCAUGGUGGGAAUUUUUUAGGAAAGAUUCGAUGUGCUCGGAGGAGUAGCUCAAGCUUAAAUCGAUUCAGCUGACCACUUUCCUAUUUUGUUUUGUAGAUGUCAGAUCUUGCAAGGUUUUGGGCCAGGACUUUCGGGC
This 2008-nucleotide long non-coding RNA is filed under the name Capsicum annuum. RNAcentral describes it as "long non-coding RNA (CANN_LNC019409)". Lineage: Eukaryota; Viridiplantae; Streptophyta; Magnoliopsida; Solanales; Solanaceae. The record is from RNAcentral.